CCUACGGGAGACAGCAGUGAGGAAUAUUGGUCAAUGGCCGCAGGGCUGAACCAGCCAAGUCGCGUGAGGGAUGACGGUCCUAUGGAUUGUAAACCUCUUUUGUCAGGGAGCAAAGGGCGCCACGUGUGGCGCUUUGCGAGUACCUGAAGAAAAAGCAUCGGCUAACUCCGUGCCAGCAGCCGCGGUAAUACGGAGGAUGCGAGCGUUAUCCGGAUUUAUUGGGUUUAAAGGGUGCGCAGGCGGAAUGUCAAGUCAGCGGUAAAAUUUCGGGGCUCAACCCCGUCGUGCCGUUGAAACUGGCGUUCUUGAGUGAGCGAGACGUAUGCGGAAUGCGUGGUGUAGCGGUGCAAUGCAUAGAUAUCACGCAGAACUCCGAUUGCGACGGCAGCAUACCGGCGCUCAACUGACGCUCAUGCACGACAGCGUGGGUAUCGAACAGGAUUAGCUACCCGGGUAGUC
This 459-nucleotide ribosomal RNA is filed under the name uncultured bacterium. RNAcentral's name for it is "partial 16S ribosomal RNA". It matches the Rfam family "Bacterial small subunit ribosomal RNA", at positions 338 to 795 of the family's 1533-position model. The record is from RNAcentral.